Molecule: ribosomal RNA, 253 nt
Filed under: uncultured bacterium
Lineage: Bacteria
Description: partial 16S ribosomal RNA
Rfam family: Bacterial small subunit ribosomal RNA
Source: RNAcentral
UACAGAGGUGGCAAGCGUUUUUCGGAAUCACUGGGCAUAAAGGGCGCGUAGGCGGCGAGGCAAGUCGGGUGUGAAAUCCCUCAGCUCAACUGAGGAACUGCGCCCGAAACUACCUUGCUAGAGUGCAGGAGAGGAGAGUGGAACUCCUAGUGGAGCGGUGAAAUGCGUAGAGAUUAGGAGGGACGCCGGUGGCGAAAGCGACUCUCUGGCCUGCAACUGACGCUGAGGCGCGAAAGCUAGGGGAGCAAACGGG